RNAcentral lists this ribosomal RNA (1376 nucleotides) under metagenome. Its description in RNAcentral is "bacterial LSU rRNA". It matches the Rfam family "Bacterial large subunit ribosomal RNA", at positions 1519 to 2925 of the family's 2925-position model. The record is from RNAcentral.
AUAAUCUACAGGCCAACAUAAUUAUCUUAGAAUUGAUUUGCGGACCGAAUUAAGAGUAGGGAAGUGUGUGAGCCAUGCGUCAAGAAAAGCCGCUAUUGUUUUACUUAAGCCCGUACCGUAAACCGACACAGGUGGAUGAGGAGAGAAUCCUAAGGCCGACGGGAGAAGCAUUGUUAAGGAACUCGGCAAAAUGACUCCGUAACUUCGGGAGAAGGAGUGCCAGCGAGAGCUGGCCGCAGAGAAUUGGCCCAAGCAACUGUUUAGCAAAAACACAGGUCUAUGCAAAACCGUAAGGUGAAGUAUAUGGGCUGACGCCUGCCCGGUGCUGGAAGGUUAAGAGGAGAGGUUAGCGGUAACGCGAAGCUUUGAAUUUAAGCCCCAGUAAACGGCGGCCGUAACGAUAACGGUCCUAAGGUAGCGAAAUUCCUUGUCGGGUAAGUUCCGACCCGCACGAAAGGCGUAAUGAUUUGGGCACUGUCUCAACAAUGCACCCGGUGAAAUUGAAAUACCAGUGAAGAUGCUGGUUACCUGCGCCAGGACGGAAAGACCCCAUGGAGCUUUACUCCAGCUUGAUACUGGGAUUCGGUAUUGCAUGUACAGGAUAGGUGGGAGGCUAGGAAGUGAUAACGCCAGUUGUCACGGAGCCGCUGUUGGGAUACCACCCUUGCAGUAUUGGAUUUCUAACCAGCGACCAUGAACUGGUCGGGGGACAAUGUCAGGUGGGGAGUUUGACUGGGGCGGUCGCCUCCGAAAGGGUAUCGGAGGCGCUCAAAGGUUCCCUCAGAAUGGACGGAAACCAUUCGAAGAGUGCAAAGGCAGAAGGGAGCUUGACUGCGACACCGACGGGUGGAGCAGGUACGAAAGUAGGACUUAGUGAUCCGGUGGUAUAAAGUGGGAUCCAUCGCUCAACGGAUAAAAGCUACCCUGGGAUAACAGGCUUAUCACUCCCAAGAGUUCACAUCGACGGAGUGGUUUGGCACCUCGAUGUCGGCUCAUCGCAUCCUGGGGCUGAAGUAGGUCCCAAGGGUUGGGCUGUUCGCCCAUUAAAGCGGUACGCGAGCUGGGUUCAGAACGUCGUGAGACAGUUCGGUCCCUAUCCGGCGUGGGCGUAGGAUAUUUGAGAGGAGCUGUCCUUAGUACGAGAGGACCGGGAUGGACUGGCCGCUGGUGUAUCUGUUGCAUACCAAAUGCAUGGCAGAGUAGCCAAGCCGGGACGGGAUGAACGCUGAAGGCAUCUAAGCGUGAAGCCCCCCUCAAGAUGAGAUAUCCCUACGUAAGUAGUAAGACCCCUUGAAGACGACGAGGUAGAUAGGUCAGAGGUGGAAGUACAGUAAUGUAUGGAGCUGACUGAUACUAAUCGGUCGAGGGCAUGACCU